UACGGAGGGUGCAAGCGUUAUCCGGAUUCACUGGGUUUAAAGGGUGUGUAGGCGGAUUUUUAAGUCAGUGGUGAAAUCUCCGGGCUCAACCCGGAAACUGCCAUUGAUACUAUUAGUCUUGAAUUCUGUUGAGGUGGGCGGAAUACAUCAUGUAGCGGUGAAAUGCUUAGAUAUGAUGUAGAACACCGAUUGCGAAGGCAGCUCACUAAGCAGACAUUGACGCUGAGGCACGAAAGCGUGGGGGAUCAAACAGG
This 254-nucleotide ribosomal RNA is filed under the name uncultured bacterium. RNAcentral's name for it is "partial 16S ribosomal RNA". It matches the Rfam family "Bacterial small subunit ribosomal RNA", at positions 524 to 776 of the family's 1533-position model. The record is from RNAcentral.